GUCAACUUCAGCGUUUAUUUUACAAAUAAGAAAUAUAAAUCUUAUAAAAAAAUAAAAAUAGCUUCAACAUGUGUACAUUUUAUUAUUAAUCAUUUUAAAAUUUUAAUUGCAAUUUUCGUUACAUUUGAUCUGUAAGAAUUCGAUUUUGAAUCAUUUUCAUUUCAAAUUGAUUCACACACAUAGCAGACGUCAACACAUCAAGCGUCAUCAAUAGCGUGGUCUAUGGUGCAAUGCUAUCACUGGAGAAAGGCGUUUACCUUCAAUUCGGGUAGCGUUAUGAUUGGCCUACCCUGAUGGCGUCAUGAUCGGCGUGCCCCGUUGGCGUCAUAAUCAGCGUGCUUUAAUUUACCCGAUUUAUGCACAACCAUCACUUGAUGGAUUGAAUAUCAUCUGCAAACAGUCGCAAUUGAUGUCUCAAAUACGUCUUGCUGCAUACUUCUACUGCAUACCAACCCACUGCUUGUGGUUGCUCACACUCUGACGUUUGCAAUGGUUUCCACCCAAAGUUUAUUUGACUUUGGAAGGCUUCGGUUUCCAGUGGCUACUUUCCAUGGUGUCUGCGUGGAGUUACAUUGCUGGUUAACAUGGUGUUAACUUAUCCAAAUUUGUUGAGACAGUGGAUGAAUCAUCAGCACCAUCAUCACCAUGUUUGUGGUUGAAUCAUCAGUUAAGCUGGGAUAGUUGAAGAGAAGUUUUAAAGAAAGACGGAAACAAUUGACAAGGCAAAAGAUAGUCAUGCUAUUCAGGUGUUCGAUCAACUGUCCAUAUUAUUUACUUCUUGUACGGUCCACUGUUAAAAAGGUUCCUAUUUUUGGGGGGUUUGUAUUCCCUACAAUUUAGUAACCACCCCUAAAUUUUCGUAUAGCUACGAAAAUAUAGGGUAACACGCUAAAAAUAAGAGGUUUAAAGCACA
Long non-coding RNA from Daphnia magna, 913 nucleotides. RefSeq lists it as uncharacterized. The record is from RefSeq and is a predicted model, not a curated record. NCBI's taxonomy places the organism in Eukaryota, Metazoa, Arthropoda, Branchiopoda, Diplostraca, Daphniidae. The transcript has 5 exons.